This 413-nucleotide ribosomal RNA is filed under the name Bacillus amyloliquefaciens. Its description in RNAcentral is "bacterial SSU rRNA". It matches the Rfam family "Bacterial small subunit ribosomal RNA", at positions 348 to 753 of the family's 1533-position model. Lineage: Bacteria; Bacillati; Bacillota; Bacilli; Caryophanales; Bacillaceae. The record is from RNAcentral.
GCAGCAGUAGGGAAUCUUCCGCAAUGGACGAAAGUCUGACGGAGCAACGCCGCGUGAGUGAUGAAGGUUUUCGGAUCGUAAAGCUCUGUUGUUAGGGAAGAACAAGUGCCGUUCAAAUAGGGCGGCACCUUGACGGUACCUAACCAGAAAGCCACGGCUAACUACGUGCCAGCAGCCGCGGUAAUACGUAGGUGGCAAGCGUUGUCCGGAAUUAUUGGGCGUAAAGGGCUCGCAGGCGGUUUCUUAAGUCUGAUGUGAAAGCCCCCGGCUCAACCGGGGAGGGUCAUUGGAAACUGGGGAACUUGAGUGCAGAAGAGGAGAGUGGAAUUCCACGUGUAGCGGUGAAAUGCGUAGAGAUGUGGAGGAACACCAGUGGCGAAGGCGACUCUCUGGUCUGUAACUGACGCUGAGAG